Molecule: non-coding RNA, 79 nt
Organism: Potamilus streckersoni
Lineage: Eukaryota; Metazoa; Mollusca; Bivalvia; Unionida; Unionidae
Source: the annotation of a GenBank genome assembly
GACUGCUCAGGUAGCCUAAGUGGCUAUAGCGUCCGCCUCGAAAGUGGGAGGGUAGCGGGUUAGAACCCCUGCCGAGUCA